RNAcentral lists this ribosomal RNA (497 nucleotides) under uncultured bacterium. RNAcentral's name for it is "partial 16S ribosomal RNA". It matches the Rfam family "Bacterial small subunit ribosomal RNA", at positions 28 to 507 of the family's 1533-position model. The record is from RNAcentral.
GAUGAACGCUGGCGGCGUGCCUAAUACAUGCAAGUCGAGCGAACAGAUGAGGAGCUUGCUCCUCUGACGUUAGCGGCGGACGGGUGAGUAACACGUGGAUAACCUACCUAUAAGACUGGGAUAAAUUCGGGAAACCGGAGCUAAUACCGGAUAAUAUAUUGAACCGCAUGGUUCAAUAGUGAAAGACGGUUUUGCUGUCACUUAUAGAUGGAUCCGCGCCGCAUUAGCUAGUUGGUAAGGUAACGGCUUACCAAGGCAACGAUGCGUAGGCAACCUGAGAGGGUGAUGGGUCAAACUGGAACUGAGACGCGGUCCAGACUACUACGGGAAUGCGCAGUAGUGAAUCUUCCGCAAUGGGCUAAAACCUGACGGAGCAACGGCGCGGGAGUGAUGGAAAUAUUCGUAUCGUAAAACUCUGUUACGAGGGAAGAACAAAUGUGUAAGUAACUAUGCACGUCUUGACGGUACCUAAUCAGAAAGCCGCGGCUAACUACGUG